GGAUUUAAAGGAUAAAGCUAGGUGCGUCUCUUAUGUGCGCCAAAGAAGAACAACACAUAUAAUGACAAAGUGUAUAGAGAUAAAUGUCACAAUAUCAUAAAAGUAAUUAUUACAUAACGGAAGUCUUACAAAAAUAAAUGAUAUGUAAAGCGAAUUAAAUGUCCAUCCAUGGCACCAUAAAGCUGACGGGGAGACGUCACCUAGAUCAACUCGUACUCCUCAUUGUACGGCUCCUCCUGAACCAUCUGUUCUUCUCCUGUGGGGGGUUUAUAUAUCGCAGUUGUGAGCUCACAAAAGAUCAUAGCUUAACAAGUCAUGGGGAAUAAUGUGCAUGAACUCACCAAAGGUGUGAGUUCAUGUGAUGUGUAAGGCUGAUCAACAAUAGGGGUUAAAGCUGAGCAUUGUUUUUAAUAAGUUGGUCAAAUUUUAUUAGCAGUUACUAAAUGUAAGUAAAUAUCAAACUAGAAUAAUAAUAGAACAAAAUUAACAAUAAAUCCCAUGCAAUGCAAAUGACAAACUGAAUUUAGUUCCAUAGUUUAAUCAUGCGAGAGUCCUGAGCUGCAAAUGACCGCGAGCACAACUAGUAUACCAGUUUUACACUCUGCAGAGGUUGUACCCUGUACCCACAAGUCAUGUUACCCAUCUGUCAAGGGAUCGCGAUUCCCAUACACCUCUACCAAGGAAGCGAGGUAGGGUAACACUAUGAGGCCUUUGCAAAGUUCCACUAGCUUCAGAAAACCUGUUACAGUUUUUAGGAAGAGCAAUGCAGGAAUCCUCUGUCUGACCGCCAUCGCAGCAAAAUCAACCUAGGAACCUCCCUACACGCCUAUCCCCUACUUCCCUUGCCCCUAUCGGGUAAGGUAGUCCUCCACUAGCUUUCCUAGUUAGUUAGCCAAGGGUGUCCCAUUCCACCCUUGUGUGGCACAUGUUUCUCAAGUUAUGCUCCAUGUUCCAAAUAAAAUAAUGAUGUUGUCAUGAACAAUAAAUAAAAUAACAGUAUAAUUGGAACAUGAACAUAAUGUAAUAUUAAACCAUAUAUAGCAAUAGCAAAACUACCCAAUUAGUUCAGGAGUAAACAAGGUGAAAAGAUAACCAGACUAGGGUGACCUAUUGGGUCCCAUCAAAAUUAAGCCUAUGCAUGAAUAAGUGAUAAUAAAGAACAUUAUUGGGUAAUAAAAGUGGUCAAGGGCACAACUUGCCUUCAAUGAGCUCCUGCUCAGCAACUUCUACCUGUUGAACACCUGGGUCCUCGGUCACUGGCUCUUCUACUCGCCACAACACAAACAAGCAUAGUGUUGGGGACUUGUUCUCAAAAUGCUAUAAGUUGAGAACAAGACAACACAAAAAGUUAAUGGUUAAAGACCUUCGUCCUUCGAAACAUUAUUUCCUUUAGGAUAUAAUGAUCUUCAGACGAAGGUCAUGAAGGACAUACCUUCAUCAUCUCAAUAAACAAUAGAAAGCAGGGUCAUAUGAUACAUAAAAAACAUGAAUACUUAUAUGAUAUUAUUCAGACAUUUUCACUAUAUAAUCAUGAAUGAACAUGGAUAAUAUUGAAUUACAUUUAUACCUUCGGCUUGACAGAAGGUAAGAACUCAAGUAUGAUGUGUGAGUAAAUGCAAGUCAGCGUGAAUAGUACAGGGGUACUGUUCAUCUAUUUAUAGGCACAGGACGUAGGCUGUGAGAAAUUACAUUUAUGCCCUUUACAAAUGCUUACAAUCAUAAUACAAGCUAUCACAGGUCGAUUGAUCAUUUCAUCUUUAAGUCGGUUUGCUCCUUCAUCUUGAGGCAUGCCACUAUGCCGAAGCUUUAUGGAUGAUAGCUUCGGCACUGCUUUUUAAAGGAUCUGCCGAAGGUGUUUCUUCUUACAGGAUCUUCGGCGACGAAGCAUACCCCCAACAGUAGCCCCUUCGCGGUGCUAGAUCGUUUUUCGUAACGAGCUUGAUCCGUGAAAAAGUCUCCUAGGCUUCGAAAUGCCGAAGGUCCAAAAAACACCUUCCCUGAGCUCGUUUCCGAGAAACGAUUAAAAUAUUCCAUGUGGCGGGUACACGCGUCCUGGCGAUUCACCUUCUCGGGCUCUGUGGCCCACCAUUCAGUGGGUGCGGGCGACUGUUUGACAGGUGCGGAAGACUUGACGAUUCACCUUCCCACCUGCGGCACUAUAUAAACAGACAGGUAGGUGUGAAGUUACCACAACAUUCAUUGCUAUUGCAUUGUUUUGCUGCCAAAAAUUUGACCAUAGCCGAAUCUUGUUCAUCACACUCAACCGAAGCACCGCUGUUGGUUUUUGCUUCGUCACAAGAGGAAGAGCUUCGAAAAAAUUAAAAAAGUUAACUUCAUCAAAAAUUGUGAGGGUUUCAUUAUCAAAUGGCAAGGGUACGUUCGACUGCUAGGGUUACACGUGACGGAGAAGAAGCCGAAGCUGCUGAAACCGCUCCGAUUUCCGAAGUGACGAAACGGUCGGGGCUGGUUGCGCCGGAGGAUGUUUCUAACGAAGGUGCACCUGUCGCCGAAGCUGAGCAGGUUGGUGCUGAGGAAGGUGAAUCUGAAGAUGAUUAUAGUGUCGUGGCAUCUAAACCCAGCCACCUGGAGUUUGGGAGGUCUACUGUUACCGAAGAUGAUAUGCCUAAGUUGAUUAAAUUGGGCUAUUUCAGUGAGGCCAAAAAGGGACUAAUUCGCUUUGGUGGAGAGGAAAUUACUCCGAAGCCAGAAAAGGAUGAGGUGGUAGUUUUUAAAAGCUUCUUUAAAGCAGGAUUAAGAUUUCCUUUGAAUGAGAUGAUUGCGGAUGUUUUGGGGAAAUUUGGGAUUUUUCUUCAUCAUCUAACUCCUAACGCCAUCGUUAGACUUAGCGUCUACAUCUGGGCUCUCCGAAGCCAAGGGGCAGAACCGCUUGCCGAAGGCUUCUGCCGGGCACAUGAGCUUCAUUAUCAGACAAAAGCUAGAGAAGAUGGGCUGCACGAGAACUUCAGAUGCUAUAAUUUUGCUUAUCGCAAAGAUGCGUAGACUUCAGUUAUCAGCUAUCGUACCAAGUGGCCAGCUGGCUGGAAGACUGAAUGGUUUUAUGUCAAAGUUGAUGAGAAAAAGGAGAAGCUGGUUCAAAGCCCAUUAGAAUUAAUCUUCGGAGAGACUAGUCCCCAAUGCAAUAUGGCACCGGAGAGUCCAUGCCAGAUUGCACUAGGCGAAUUUCGAGUUGUUGCGGAGCACAUUGGUACCAGGGAUCUGGUGCAAGAAUUCUUAGCUUUUAGAGUGUUUCCAACUUUGAAAGAAUGGGACAUGCCGAAGUUCAAAGGGGAAAAGAAAAAGAAGGAACUUGUUAGGUUGCCCUACUACUAUAAAUUCAAGAAACACUUCAAAGAAUCUUGCCAAGAAUGGUUAGACACGAUUGAAGUUAUGUGCAACAAGAUCCUUGGCAACUAUUCCAAAAAAGAAGAUCAAUUAAUGACUGCAGCCUUCGGCACUCGACCAAAGCGAAGGUUGAAUUGGGUGAUGGAUGCCCUGAACUUUGAGUAUCCUGACUAUGAGCGUUUGGACAGAGGUGCCGAAGGACAAAAAAGAAAAAGAGUUGCUAGCGCCCUGGACAAAGAAGCUGCUAAAUUGGUGAAAAAGGAUGAAAAAACUUUGAAGAAAAUAAAAUUAAGCCCUGAGCCGAAGGUAGCUGCUUCGAAGAAAAAGAAAAUUGCGGCUCUGAAGCGAAAAACGACUGAUAUUGAGGAUGAAGCUCCUUCAACACCUCCUGCUACUGAUGUGGAAGAAAUUUUAAAGGUAAUGACUGAAUCUUUGCCUAUCAAGCUAAGUCCACUAGGGACACAUCUGACGAAGCUUUUUUAGAAGCAAAAGGAGCCUUCGGCAGCAAAGAAGCCAGAUGAGCUGAAAAAACAAAGAAUUAUUCAUGUAGUUGAAGUUAUCGAGCAGACGCCGCCGCUGGCAUCGAUGUCAAAGACUCCAGCUGUUGAGAGCACUGUUGCUGCCGAAGCUGCACCCACCGAAGCCGAAAGUGCCGAAGCUGGAACCGCUGAAGAUGUGAAUCUAGACGCCACACUCUCUGAAAUUGAUACCAUGCUUCUGACUGCGACCACGGAAGAAGCUGCUGCAGCCGCUGAAGAGAUCCCGGGCAUAGUGGCUGGAAAAGGAAAGGAGAAAGCCGAGGAUAUUUCGGAAGAAGAGGACUUCAAUUUUCAAGAUAUACUUGGGCAAGAGUUGUCGAAGGCUGAAAAAGAAGAAUUGAAAGAAUAUGCUAUAUCUUGCGGGUACAGACCAGGUGCGUUACUCUUUGGGGGAGUCAACGAAGAAAGCUUAGGAUGCCUUCGGGACCACAUUGGGGCGAAGGUUGUCGGCACUUUAUCGAAGAGUGUUGGCUUCCCGAAGGUUGAGGCAGACCUUAGCAGGUACCGGCGACAGCAUAUCGCCGGUAGCCUAUUUUAUGCUAACUUUAAGGUAAAAUUCUUAACUUUUUAUUGCUUUGAUAUCAAGAUUGUUUUCUGAUGAAGCUUAUUUUAUCAGAGCUUACUGCUGAGCAAAGUCCUGAGGAUGCAAUAAGACCUCGAGGACAAAAAGAACGAAGUUAUAAUUGAGGGCCUGGAGAAGAAAAUCAAAGAUCAUGAGGCUAUCUUGGAGAAAAAAGACUUCGUACUUCAAACCGUGGAGGGUUCACUGGCGGAGGCCCAGGCCAAAAUUGCUAGAUUGAAUAGUGAACUCUCCACGCAAAAGAAGAAUUUUGAAGCCAAACUCGAAGCUGAAGCUGAGAAAAAUUCAAAUUUGCAGAAAUCACUGAAAGAACUUCAAGAAAAAUGCGUAAACUUCAGCAAACAGAGCCUACAGCGGCUGAAGCAGGUUUUCAACUCGGUUGGAGCCAGCACUGUGAAAUUCAGUCCUUCGGUUGAGAACCUGCCGGAAACCUUCGAACAUAUUGAAGGCGAAGUUGAUGCACUCGACGAAGUUAUAGCUGGACACGCCGAUUUCUGCGCUCUGCUAGCUUCUCGGGGCACAGCUGUUGCCUUCAUAAAAUAUGGCUGCGAACAUGGAAAAAUUGUCAACAUACCAAAUUUUAGCUUAUCACCGAUAGAUUUACUUGAUAUCCCUAGCCUAGCUCGGAGUAUAGGAAAUAGAUUUAUAACUUAGAUUUGGGUAAAAGGCGGGCGAAAAAUGGCUGGCGACGAAGCUCGAAUCCACCUUAAGCCGGUAAGAAAUUUGUGCCUGUUACUUUACCUUCUCCUUGAACUUUGCACUUCUCUCAUACCGUUUUAAUAUGUACAGGAUGACGAUGCUGAGGAACAAUGAGCCGAAGCUUGACAGGUGAUCCGAAGCUCAGAUGAUCCAAAGCUCAAUGAUGUCAAAGCUGAAGUCCUUGCUGAAAAAAUUCUAGAGAAAAUCUUGUAAUAUCGUUGUAAAAAUAUUUGUAAUUUAAAAAUCAAAUACUAAUUCUGUAAAUUUGUGCAUACCUUGUAAUAUAUUUUUACCUUUUCGUCCAUGUUUGAACUGCUUUGCUGUGGACGAAACUAGUAUUUUUUGAGCCGAAGGAGAAAAACACCUUCCCUUCUUUUCGUACACAACGAAGCAUGAAACUGCUUCUUUUUCUUUUUUGUCGAAGCCUUAUCUUUAUGGCCGAAGCAUCUGCCUGUGUCUGUAUGUUAUGAUGAUGAUGAUCCUAUGUAUGUCUAAAUGAAUGUUUAUGAAUGCAAAUGUAUGAUGUAAUAUGUCGUGCAAAUGAAUGUCCAAAGAUACGCAUACGAAGCCACAACCAUAGCCUUUAUUCCCUUGGGAAUGACCGAAGUCUAUUUGCCGUUUAUUUUUCGGCUUCACCGCUUAUUUUUCGGUGUAUCGGCGCUGACUUUUCGCUGUAAGUUCUGCAUCCUCUUAGGAACGUCUUUUGAACUUCUUUGCCUUCUAUUUCAGCGGUAUCGCGUUGACUUUUCAUGCUUCGCCUUAUAUUUCGGUGGAAUCAGCGUUGACAUUUCGCUGUAAGCUCUGCAUUCCCUUUGGAACGACUUUUGAGCAAAAAACUUACGCUCGCUCCCUUAGGAACGGCUUUUUGUAGCUUCGUCGUGCUCUGCAUCCCCUUAGGGACGACUUUCGAGCUUCUCCCUGUUUUUUUCCUUUUUUCCUGUACUCGAUGGUGCAUGCUCAGCUUUUACAUUUACAUAUCUGGGGGAUUUUGCUCUUGUAGAGCUGAAUAAGAAAAAGAGAAAUUACAUUCUAUGGCCCCAUUAAAAACCUUUCUCCCCCUUUGGAAAGGAAAAGGGUGCCAUAGAAAAAAUAAAAAGAUUACAUCAAGCUAAACAUAAUAUCAUCGAAGCUCAUCCGCAUUCCAAGAUCUAGGAAUGUCGUUGCCGUCCAUAUCCUUCAAUCUGUAAGAACCGGGUCUUGACGAAGAUACUACCAGAAAAGGUUCUUCCCACUUCAACUGUAGCUUGCCUACUGUAUCUGGGUUGGCCACUCUCCGAAGUACCAAAUGCCCUGGCUUAAUGUUCUUUAGCCGAACUUUUCUAUCACGCCAUUUUAUUAUUUCGGCUUGAUAUUUAUUGAUAUUCUCCACGGCCUGAAGCCUGAUCCCUUCUAUAGCAUCUUUUGCCACAGAAUAAUUAGCUUCGUCCUCUGCCGAAGCCACUGUUCUUAUUGAUCCUGCUUUAGCUUCUUCUGGGGUUAUUGCUUCGUCACCAAACAAUAGUUUGAAUGGUGUAAAACCUGUUGACCAUGAUAUUGUUGUGUUGUGGCUCCACACCACUUUGAUCAAUUCGUCUGGCCACUUUCCUCUAGGCUGAUUGAAGAUUAACUUCAUUAUUCCCGUCAUUAUAAUGCCAUUAGCUCUUUCAACAAGUCCAUUUGACUCUGGAUAUCUGACCGAUGCAAAAUGAAUCUUCGUGCCAAUUUGUUCACAGAAUUCCUUGAAAGCUUCAGCAUCGAAUUGUGUUCUGUUGUCUAUAGUAAUAGCUUUCGGCACUCCAAAGCGACAAACAAUGUUUUACCAGAAGAAUUUCUGGAUGGUGACUGAAGUUAUUGUGGCUAAAGGCUUCGCCUCAAUCCACUUGGAAAAAUACUCUACCGCCACCACAACAUAUUUUAGAUUUCCUUGUGCUGGUGGAAGUGGGCCUAGCAAAUCGAGGCCCCACCUUUGCAACGGCCAAGUGGGCUGUAUUAACUGAGUGAGAGAUGAAGGUUAUUUCUGGUCUCUUGCACAUUUUUGAUAGCCUUCACAUUUUUGGACUAAUUCUACUGCAUCUGAAGCUGCCUUCGGCCAGUAAAAUCCUUGUCGAAAAACUUUUCCCAACAAGGGCCUAGAUCCAAUGUGAGAUCCACACAGACCUGCAUGUAUCUCUUUCACUAAUUCCAUACCUUCAGUUCUUGAUAAAUACUUAAGGAGUGGUGAGCAAACUCCAUGUUUAUACAAUUCCCCUUCUAUCAUCACAUAUGGUCUUGUUCUUGCCUCCAUUCUCUUGUUAUAAGCUUCGUCACAUGAAAGACAAUUGCCUUGGAGGAAAGAUAUUAUUUCAGUUCUCCAGUCUUCACUGUGUACUAGAGAAAUAGUAAGCAUUGCUCUCUCCAUGAGCUCAACCGAAGGUGCUUUUAUUGUUUCAAAAAAUACUUCCGAGGGUAAAGGGAGCCCCUGUGCCGCUGAUUUGGCUAGCAAAUCUGCAUGUUCAUUUUCACCUCUUGGAAUAUUCUUGACAGAAAAACCUUCGAAGGAAGCAUCCAACCUUCGAACUGCAUCCAAAUAUAUUUCAAGCUUCGAAUCUCGUGCCUUGUUACUUUUGUCCACAUGGCCAGCAAUAACUUGAGAAUCAGUCUUUAGGAUGGCCCUUCUUAUUCCCAUUGCCCUUAGUUUCCGAAGCUCCAAUAGAAGUGCUUCAUACUCAGCAAUAUUAUUUGUACGACUGAAAUCCAGUUUGACUGCAUAACAUAUUUUGACUUUUGAAGGUGCUACUAGGACCGCAGCUGCUCCUGCACCGAAGGCUCCCCAAGAACCAUUGCAAAACACUGUCCAAGCUUCGGCAUCUUUGCUUGUCCCCUCUUCGUGAGUCCCUGGCGUCCAAUCAGCGAUGAAAUCUGCUAGCGCUUGGGAUUGAAUUGAAGAUAUGUGCACGUAGUCAAUAGUGAAUUCAUUAAGCUCCGCGCCCAUUUCCCAAUCCUUCCAUUAGCUUCUCUAUUCCUCAUGAUAUCCUUCAGGGGCUGUGAUGAAGGAACAAUUAUGUGAUAUGCUUGAAAAUAAUGUCGAAGCUUCCUGGACGCCAUUAACACAGCAUACAACACCUUCUCUAAUUCUGUAUAAUUUUUCUUUGAUAAACUCAAAACUUCGGAGACAAAGUAUAUUGGGACUUGCUUUUUAGCUUGUCCUUCAAGCUUCUCUUGUACAAGCGCCGCACUCACUGUAGAGUACAAAGCUGCCACAUAUAAUAGCAAAGGAGCCCCUAGCACGGGUGGAGUUAAUGUUGUUAAAUCGAUCAAGUAUUGCUUCAGCUCUUCGAAAGCUUUCUAUUGAGUUGGGCCCCAUUGAAAAACUUCAGCUGACUUUAGUACUUCAAAAAAUGGUAAAUUUCUUUCUACUGAUCUAGAUAUAAAUCGAUUCAAAGAUGCCAGUCUUCCUGUCAACCGUUGGCCCCCCUUCUUUGUGCUUGGCGGCUCCAUUCGAAGGAUAGCUUCAAUCUUGCUUGGGUUGGCUUCGAUCCCCUUUGUUGAAACUAGGCAGCCAAGGAACAUGCCCUUCUUCACUCUGAAGACACAUUUUUCUGGAUUUAAUUUCAGGCCAGCUUGCCUAAAAUUAGCAAAUGUUUCCUGCAAAUCAGUAAUGUGGUUUUCUUGCUUCGUGCUCUUUACUAUGAUAUCAUCAACAUAUGUUAGCACAUUUCUGCCUAUCUGAAAAUGAAGAACCUUGGUUGUGAUCCUGCUGAAGCUUCCUCCAGCAUUCUUGAGCCCCUUAGGCAUCCGAAGUUAACAAUAUGUACCACUGGGGGUUAUGAAGCUGGUCUUUGGCUCAUCUUCCUUCUUCAUCCAGAUUUGGUGGUAGCCUGAAUAACAAUCUAGUAGACUCAUGAGCUUUGACGAAGCUGCUGCAUCUACUAGAGAAUCUGUUCUUGGUAAUGGGAACUCAUCCUUUGGACAAGCUUGUUCAGAUCAGUAAAAUCAAUGCACAUUCUCCAUUUACCAUUGGCCUUCUUCACCAUGACAGUGUUGGCUAGCCAUUCUGGGUAUUUUACUUCUCUGAUGACACCAGCACUGAGAAGUCUUUUUACUUCGUUCCGAGCACCUUCGGCUUUAUCGUCAGACAUUUUCGAAGCUUUUGCUUCCUGGGUCUGAAGGAUGGAUCGACAUUGAGUGAAUGUUCAAUGACAUCCCUGUUGACACCACAGAGAUCGUUGGCUGACCAUGCAAAAACAUCUUUGUUGUUGAAUAAAAACCUUAUCAAGGUUUUCUCCUGCUCUUCAGAUAAUUGGGACCCCAGCAAUACCUUCUGCUCUGCUAUGUCUUCACAUAGAAGCAUGGACUUCGGCUGAUCAGUCGAAGCACCCUUCUCUCUUCUGUACUUAUAUUGCUCACAAGCUUCGGCUCCAUCUAUGUUGUGGAUUGCUUUUGAAUCUAUCCAGUUUCCUUCGGCCUUUCUAGCAGCUUCCUGACUGCCAUGAAUAGCAAUGGGUCCUUGUUCCGAAGGUAUCUUCAUGCAUAGAUAUGCUGGAUGAAGUAUUGCUUCGAAAGCGUUGAGUGUCCCACGACCAAUGAUUGCAUUAUAGGGGUAUUCCAUGUCGACAAUAUCAAACACAACCUGUUCAGUCCUUAUUUUGUGGACAAAUUCAAAGGUUACUAGCAUUGUGAUCUUGCCAAGUGCUACGAUCGGUCUUCCUCCGAAGCCACAAAGAGGGUGCGUAGCAUCAUGAAUUUUGUCCUCUGGCUCCUGCAUCUGUCUGAAGGCCUUAGCGAAUAUGAUGUCAGCUGCACUGCCUGUAUCAACCAAAACAUUGUGGACCAGAAAUCCCUUAAAGACACAAGAUAUGACCAUAGCAUCAUUAUGAGGAUAAUCCUUGAGCUGAAGGUCCUCCUAGGAGAAGGUAAUUGGGAUGUGGGACCAUUUUGACUUGUUGAAGGGUCCAUGCACCCCAACAUGUUGCACCCUUCUCUGGGCCUCCUUCUUGUGCUUCUUGUUGGCUGGCUCUGAGCAUGAGCCGCCUGUUAUUGGGAGCACCAGCUUCGUAGCCGAAGUAGCCUCAGUUUGGUUGCCGAACAAAGCCAUCAGCUCGAAAGUAGAAGUGAGUUCACCGGAGGUGGGCGCCAAUGUUGGGGACUUGUUCUCAAAUGCUAUAAGUUGAGAACAAGACAACACAAAAAGUUAAUGGUUAAAGACCUUCGUCCUUCGAAACAUUAUUUCCCUUAAGAUAUAAUGAUUUUCAGACGAAGGUCAUGAAGGACAUACCUUCAUCAUCUCAAUAAACAAUAGAAAGCAGGAUCAUAUGACACAUAAAAAACAUGAAUAAUUAUAUGAUAUUAUUCAGACAUUUUCACUAUAUAAUCAUGAAUGAACAUGAAUAAUAUUGAAUUACAUUUAUACCUUCGGCUUGAUAGAAGGUAAGAACUCAAGUAUGACGUGUGAGUAAAUGCAAGUCAGCGUGAACAGUACAGGGGUACUGUUCAUCUAUUUAUAGGCACAGGACGCAGGCUGCGAGAAAUUACAUUCAUGCCCUUUACAAAUGCUUAUAAUCAUAAUACAAGCUAUCACGGGUCGAUUGGUCAUUUCAUCUUUAAGUCGGUUUGCUCCUUCAUCUUGAGGCAUGCCACUAUGCCGAAGCUUUAUGGAUGAUAGCUUCGGCACUACUUUUUAAAGGAUCUGCCAAAGGUGUUUCUUUUUACAGGAUCUUCGGCGACGGAGCAUACCCCAACACAUAGUACAAGGGAAAAAUUAACAUCACACCAAACAUCUAUACCAAAUACAUAUUAAUAAUCUACGCAUUAAAACGAGAUCAUAGGGAAAAGAAUCACUAAAUUCGGAGUUACGGAUUUUAAGAUAUGAUUUUCCGAAGGUUUCAUGCAUUUGGUACAAGAUUAAUUAAGAGAUCAAUUUUAAUAUAGUUUUCAUGUUAAAACAGAGACACUAUGUGAUGAACAAUAUUAUUACAAAAUUAUAGAAACUGGAAUGGAUCAAUUUGGACUUAAUAUGAAUUUUCUAGGAAAUAGACAAGUUCUAGUAAUUAUUUUUACAUUAAAAAUCAAUUUCCAUAUUUAUUUAUCUAAUUUCCCUGCUCUCGGGACUGCGCGCUUAAAAACAGAUAAGUGCAGGGGCCAGCGUAUAAAAUUUCCUAGACUCAGGACACGGGUUGAUUUUUAUAAAGUCCAGGGAUUAUUAUGCAAAGCCACCGACCGAAGAGGUAUGAGCCGAUCGUGGCAGUCCGAUCUAACACGUGCGCCCGAGAUUAGAACUAGGUCUUCCUGAACCGGCACACGAACACAACCCUUGGAUUGGAGAUCUACGGCAUCGCAACAUCCAUGAUCUGAUCCCGUCCGAUCAGAUCAGACGGCUCAAACCCGUCCCCCACGAACUGUUAUGAUCUAUUUGAUCCGUACCGCGUAGACUCUAUCCAACGUCCAUGUCGCGAUCCACCAAAGAUCUAAUCUCGGUCCUUGGCCGUUGGAUCAACGGUCGAUGCCGCUCUUCUACCCCCGAGUCUAAUGUUUGGUGGCGCGAGCACGGGGCACGGCGUCGCCAUCGCCGGCGACCAGCCCCAACGUGAUUUGUGCACUAACACUUCUAUCCAAAGGUAAAUGUGGUUAGCAGGAACAAUAGGAUAUGCACGGGAAAGGUGCUCACCAUGGAUUAAGGAUCGAGCAGAUGCGUCCACGGUGCACGGCGGAAUCCGAUCUCCGACGAGAAAUUCCAGUCCACGCAGCAGCCGGAUUUGCGCCAAUCGACCACUAUCGCUUCCCCCACAGUACCGCAACGUUCUCCGGUCACCAGCAGGUACGGUUUCGUCGGCUAUUGGCGGGUACAGGGCCAACGGCACCCUCUGCACACGAUUUGCCGCGGCACUGGCGUUGGUGAGCGAAACAGGAAGACCGGUGAUGCCCCGUGCGGCUGGUAGAUAAAGGCUGAGGUGCUGGCGCCGAGGCGAUAUCGGCGGGAUGGUUGAGCUUAGGCCGACGUGCGUGCAGAGAGGGAAGAUCUGAGGGCGCACUGUCUUAGAGCUGAUUUGGUGACCGGGGAUCCCGAGGGGAAGAAAUCCUCUUGCUAUUCAAAAUUGAAUUGCGAGGGGAUUCCUCCCCCAUGGAUCCCCUAGGGAUCCCUAAUCACCAAAUUAGCCCUUAGUGUUUGGGAGCGCGCCAGAGAGAUAGACCGAGCGGACCCACGCGCAAGUGGCGUUAGAAAAUGCAGUGCGGCGUGAUGAGAGUCAGGCGGGUAGGUCCCGCCUGCAGGUGUCCCAGGUCAGUCAGCAUGCGGGCGCGAUAUUGGGCUGGGAGCGCGCGAGGGUGAGUAAGUUGGGCCGGCCGAGUGCUUUUCGGCCCAAGAGAGACCCC
RNAcentral lists this long non-coding RNA (12486 nucleotides) under Zea mays. Its description in RNAcentral is "long non-coding RNA (ZMAY_LNC005443)". The record is from RNAcentral. Lineage: Eukaryota; Viridiplantae; Streptophyta; Magnoliopsida; Poales; Poaceae.